This 637-nucleotide ribosomal RNA is filed under the name uncultured Erwinia sp. Its description in RNAcentral is "bacterial SSU rRNA". It matches the Rfam family "Bacterial small subunit ribosomal RNA", at positions 876 to 1515 of the family's 1533-position model. The record is from RNAcentral. Lineage: Bacteria; Pseudomonadati; Pseudomonadota; Gammaproteobacteria; Enterobacterales; Erwiniaceae.
GGCAGUACGGCCGCAACGUUAAAACUCAAAUGAAUUGACGGGGGCCGCACAAGCGGUGGAGCAUGUGGUUUAAUUCGAUGCAACGCGAAGAACCUUACCUGGCCUUGACAUCCACGGAAUUUGGCAGAGAUGCUUAGUGCCCUCGGGAACCGUGAGACAGGUGCUGCAUGGCUGUCGUCAGCUCGUGUUGUGAAAUGUUGGGUUAAGUCCCGCAACGAGCGCAACCCUUAUCCUUUGUUGCCAGCGAUACGGUCGGGAACUCAAAGGAGGCUGCCGGUGAUAAACCGGAGGAAGGUGGGGAUGACGUCAAGUCAUCAUGGCCCUUACGGCCAGGGCUACACACGUGCUACAAUGGCGCAUACAAAGAGAAGCGACCUCGCGAGAGCAAGCGGACCUCAUAAAGUGCGUCGUAGUCCGGAUCGGAGUCUGCAACUCGACUCCGUGAAGUCAGAAUCGCUAGUAAUCGUAGAUCAGAAUGCUACGGUGAAUACGUUCCCGGGCCUUGUACACACCGCCCGUCACACCAUGGGAGUGGGUUGCAAAAGAAGUAGGUAGCUUAACCUUCGGGAGGGCGCUUACCACUUUGUGAUUCAUGACUGGGGUGAAGUCGUAACAAGGUAACCAAGGGCGAAUUCUG